RNAcentral lists this ribosomal RNA (253 nucleotides) under uncultured bacterium. RNAcentral's name for it is "partial 16S ribosomal RNA". It matches the Rfam family "Bacterial small subunit ribosomal RNA", at positions 524 to 776 of the family's 1533-position model. The record is from RNAcentral.
UACGUAGGUGGCAAGCGUUGUCCGGAAUUAUUGGGCGUAAAGCGCACGUAGGCGGUCUUGUAAGUCGGGUGUGAAAGCCCGGGGCUUAACCCCGGAAGUGCACUCGAAACUGCAAGGCUUGAGUAUGGAAGAGGGUCUCGGAAUUCCCGGUGUAGAGGUGAAAUUCGUAGAUAUCGGGAGGAACACCAGUGGCGAAGGCGGAGACCUGGGCCAAUACUGACGCUGAGGUGCGAAAGCGUGGGGAGCAAACAGG